Molecule: ribosomal RNA, 671 nt
Filed under: uncultured bacterium
Lineage: Bacteria
Description: bacterial SSU rRNA
Rfam family: Bacterial small subunit ribosomal RNA
Source: RNAcentral
GGGGACAACCCGCCGAAAGGCGGGCUAAACCCGCGUACAUGCCACCGGGGCAUCCCGGAGGCAGGAAAGGCUUCGGCCGGACAGGGAUGGGCAUGCGGCGCAUUAGGCAGUAGGCGGGGUAACGGCCCACCUAACCGACGAUGCGUAGGGGUUCUGAGAGGAAGGUCCCCCACACUGGUACUGAGACACGGACCAGACUCCUACGGGAGGCAGCAGUGAGGAAUAUUGGUCAAUGGUCGGGAGACUGAACCAGCCAAGCCGCGUGAGGGAUGAAGGUACAGAGUAUCGUAAACCUCUUUUGUCAGGGAACAAAGGCGGGGACGUGUCCCCGGAUGAGUGUACCUGAAGAAAAAGCAUCGGCUAACUCCGUGCCAGCAGCCGCGGUAAUACGGAGGAUGCGAGCGUUAUCCGGAUUUAUUGGGUUUAAAGGGUGCGCAGGCGGUCUGUUAAGUCAGCGGUCAAAGCCCGGGGCUCAACCCCGGCCCGCCGUUGAAACUGGCAGUCUCGAGUUGGAGAGAAGUACGCGGAAUGCGCGGUGUAGCGGUGAAAUGCAUAGAUAUCGCGCAGAACUCCGAUUGCGAAGGCAGCAUGCCGGCUCCACACUGACGCUGAGGCACGAAAGCGUGGGUAUCGAACAGGAUUAGAUACCCUGGUAGUCCACGCAGUAAACG